RNAcentral lists this unclassified non-coding RNA (345 nucleotides) under soil metagenome. Its description in RNAcentral is "partial contains 5.8S ribosomal RNA, internal transcribed spacer 2, and large subunit ribosomal RNA". The stretch from base 1 to 119 matches the Rfam family "5.8S ribosomal RNA", at positions 35 to 154 of the family's 154-position model. The record is from RNAcentral.
GAUGAAGAACGUAGCGAAAUGCGAUACGUAAUGUGAAUUGCAAAUUCAGUGAAUCAUCGAGUCUUUGAACGCACAUUGCGCCCCCUGGUAUUCCGGGGGGCAUGCCUGUCCGAGCGUCAUUGCUGCCCUCAAGCACGGCUUGUGUGUUGGGCCCCGUCCUCCGAUCCCGGGGGACGGGCCCGAAAGGCAGCGGCGGCACCGCGUCCGGUCCUCGAGCGUAUGGGGCUUUGUCACCCGCUCUGUAGGCCCGGCCGGCGCUUGCCGAUCAACCCAAAUUUUUAUCCAGGUUGACCUCGGACCAGGUAGGGAUACCCGCUGAACUUAAGCAUAUCAAUAAGCGGAGGA